Molecule: non-coding RNA, 214 nt
Organism: Cinara cedri
Lineage: Eukaryota; Metazoa; Arthropoda; Insecta; Hemiptera; Aphididae
Source: the annotation of a GenBank genome assembly
GAUAUUAAAACGCGAUAGUUAUUAUUAGGUAUCGCGAUGUACGGUGUGUGUAUAUAUGUGUGUAUGUGUGUGUAUGUGUGUGUGUGUGCGAUUACGCGUUUCAAUACGAAUGUCGGCCCGCAACAGAACCGCACAGUUAUUACGUUUGGCGUUCCAUAUCGUAACGUCCGCGAUGAUCGUCACGAACUGAGUGCUGGCUCAUAAUAAUAUAAUA